GUUAAGUUAGAAAGGGCGCACGGUGAAUGCCUUGGCACUAGGAGCCGAUGAAGGACGGGACUAACACCGAUAUGCUUCGGGGAGCUGUAAGUGAGCUUUGAUCCGGAGAUUUCCGAAUGGGGAAACCCACUGUUCGUAAUGGAACAGUAUCUUUAUCUGAAUACAUAGGAUAUUGAAGGCAGACCCGGGGAACUGAAACAUCUAAGUACCCGGAGGAAGAGAAAGCAAAUGCGAUUUCCUGAGUAGCGGCGAGCGAAACGGAAUUAGCCCAAACCAAGAGGCUUGCCUCUUGGGGUUGUAGGACACUCUAUACGGAGUUACAAAGGAACGAAGUAAAUGAAGCGACCUGGAAAGGUCCGUCGAAGAAGGUAACAACCCUGUAGUUGAAACUUCGUUCCCUCUUGAGUGGAUCCUGAGUACGGCGGAACACGUGAAAUUCCGUCGGAAGCUGGGAGGACCAUCUCCCAAGGCUAAAUACUACCUAGUGACCGAUAGUGAACCAGUACCGUGAGGGAAAGGUGAAAAGCACCCCGGAAGGGGAGUGAAAGAGAUCCUGAAACCGUGUGCCUACAAGUAGUCAGAGCCCGUUAACGGGUGAUGGCGUGCCUUUUGUAGAAUGAACCGGCGAGUUACGAUCCCAUGCAAGGUUAAGCUGAUAAGGCGGAGCCGUAGCGAAAGCGAGUCUGAAUAGGGCGUUUAGUAUGUGGUUGUAGACCCGAAACCAGGUGAUCUACCCAUGUCCAGGGUGAAGUUCAGGUAACACUGAAUGGAGGCCCGAACCCACGCACGUUGAAAAGUGCGGGGAUGAGGUGUGGGUAGCGGAGAAAUUCCAAUCGAACCUGGAGAUAGCUGGUUCUCUCCGAAAUAGCUUUAGGGCUAGCCUCAUGUUGUGAGAGUCUUGGAGGUAGAGCACUGAUUGGACUAGGGGCCCCCAACGGGUUACCGAAUUCAGUCAAACUCCGAAUGCCAAAGACUUAUCCAUGGGAGUCAGACUGCGAGUGAUAAGAUCCGUAGUCAAAAGGGAAACAGCCCAGACCACCAGCUAAGGUCCCCAAGUAUACGUUAAGUGGAAAAGGAUGUGGAGUUGCUUAGACAACCAGGAUGUUGGCUUAGAAGCAGCCACCAUUUAAAGAGUGCGUAAUAGCUCACUGGUCGAGUGACUCUGCGCCGAAAAUGUACCGGGGCUAAACGUAUCACCGAAGCUGUGGAUUGACAUCUUUGAUGUCAGUGGUAGGAGAGCGUUCUAAGUGCAGCGAAGUCAGACCGUAAGGACUGGUGGAGCGCUUAGAAGUGAGAAUGCCGGUAUGAGUAGCGAAAGACAAGUGAGAAUCUUGUCCACCGAAUGCCUAAGGUUUCCUGAGGAAGGCUCGUCCGCUCAGGGUUAGUCGGGACCUAAGCCGAGGCUGAAAAGCGUAGGCGAUGGCCAACAGGUUGAUAUUCCUGUACCACCUCCCCGCCGUUUGAGUAAUGGGGGGACGCAGUAGGAUAGGGUAAGCGCGCUGCUGGAUAUGCGCGUUCAAGCAGUUAGGCUGAUGAGUAGGCAAAUCCGCUCAUCAUAAAGGCUGAGCUGUGAUGACGAGGGAAUUAUAGUACCGAAGUUCCUGAUUCCACACUGCCAAGAAAAGCCUCUAGCGAGGCGGGAGGUGCCCGUACCGCAAACCGACACAGGUAGGCGAGGAGAGAAUCCUAAGGUGAUCGAGAGAACUCUCGUUAAGGAACUCGGCAAAAUGACCCCGUAACUUCGGGAGAAGGGGUGCUCUGGUAGGGUGUAUAGCCCGAGAGAGCCGCAGUGAAUAGGCCCAGGCGACUGUUUAGCAAAAACACAGGUCUCUGCGAAGCCGCAAGGCGAAGUAUAGGGGCUGACGCCUGCCCGGUGCUGGAAGGUUAAGAGGAGGGGUUAUCCUUUGGGAGAAGCUCUGAAUCGAAGCCCCAGUAAACGGCGGCCGUAACUAUAACGGUCCUAAGGUAGCGAAAUUCCUUGUCGGGUAAGUUCCGACCCGCACGAAAGGCGUAACGAUCUGGGCACUGUCUCAACGAGAGACUCGGUGAAAUUAUAGUACCUGUGAAGAUGCAGGUUACCCGCGACAGGACGGAAAGACCCCGUGGAGCUUUACUGUAGCCUGAUAUUGAAUUUCGGUACAGCUUGUACAGGAUAGGUAGGAGCCUGAGAAGCCGGAGCGCUAGCUUCGGUGGAGGCGUCGGUGGGAUACUACCCUGGCUGUAUUGAAAUUCUAACCCGCGGCCCUGAUCGGGCCGGGAGACAGUGUCAGGUGGGCAGUUUGACUGGGGCGGUCGCCUCCUAAAAUGUAACGGAGGCGCCCAAAGGUUCCCUCAGAAUGGUUGGAAAUCAUUCGUAGAGUGUAAAGGCACAAGGGAGCUUGACUGCGAGACCUACAAGUCGAGCAGGGACGAAAGUCGGGCUUAGUGAUCCGGUGGUUCCGCAUGGAAGGGCCAUCGCUCAACGGAUAAAAGCUACCCCGGGGAUAACAGGCUUAUCUCCCCCAAGAGUCCACAUCGACGGGGAGGUUUGGCACCUCGAUGUCGGCUCAUCGCAUCCUGGGGCUGUAGUCGGUCCCAAGGGUUGGGCUGUUCGCCCAUUAAAGCGGUACGCGAGCUGGGUUCAGAACGUCGUGAGACAGUUCGGUCCCUAUCCGUCGUGGGCGUAGGAAAUUUGAGAGGAGCUGUCCUUAGUACGAGAGGACCGGGAUGGACACACCGCUGGUGUACCAGUUGUCUUGCCAAAGGCAUCGCUGGGUAGCUAUGUGUGGACGGGAUAAGUGCUGAAAGCAUCUAAGCAUGAAGCCCCCCUCAAGAUGAGAUUUCCCAUAGCGCAAGCUAGUAAGAUCCCUGAAAGAUGAUCAGGUUGAUAGGUCAGAGGUGGAAGCGUGGCGACAUGUGUAGCUGACUGAUACUAAUCGAUCGAGGACUUAACC
RNAcentral lists this ribosomal RNA (2933 nucleotides) under Priestia megaterium Q3. RNAcentral's name for it is "bacterial LSU rRNA". It matches the Rfam family "Bacterial large subunit ribosomal RNA". Lineage: Bacteria; Bacillati; Bacillota; Bacilli; Caryophanales; Bacillaceae. The record is from RNAcentral.